RNAcentral lists this ribosomal RNA (822 nucleotides) under Halalkalibacter oceani. RNAcentral's name for it is "Bacterial large subunit ribosomal RNA". It matches the Rfam family "Bacterial large subunit ribosomal RNA", at positions 2105 to 2925 of the family's 2925-position model. The record is from Rfam by way of RNAcentral. Lineage: Bacteria; Bacillati; Bacillota; Bacilli; Caryophanales; Bacillaceae.
UGUAGCUUGAUAUUGGAUGUUGGUACAGUUUGUACAGGAUAGGUAGGAGCCAGAGAAGUCGGAGCGCCAGCUUCGAUGGAGGCGUCGGUGGGAUACUACCCUGACUGUGCUGACAUUCUAACCUCGAGCCGUGAUCCGGUUCAGGGACAGUGUCAGGUGGGCAGUUUGACUGGGGCGGUCGCCUCCUAAACAGUAACGGAGGCGCCCAAAGGUUCCCUCAGAAUGGUUGGAAAUCAUUCGCAGAGUGCAAAGGCAUAAGGGAGCUUGACUGCGAGACCUACAAGUCGAGCAGGGACGAAAGUCGGGCUUAGUGAUCCGGUGGUUCCGCAUGGAAGGGCCAUCGCUCAACGGAUAAAAGCUACCCUGGGGAUAACAGGCUUAUCUCCCCCAAGAGUCCACAUCGACGGGGAGGUUUGGCACCUCGAUGUCGGCUCAUCGCAUCCUGGGGCUGAAGUAGGUCCCAAGGGUUGGGCUGUUCGCCCAUUAAAGCGGUACGCGAGCUGGGUUCAGAACGUCGUGAGACAGUUCGGUCCCUAUCCGUCGCGGGCGCAGGAAAUUUGAGAGGAGCUGUCCUUAGUACGAGAGGACCGGGAUGGACACACCGCUGGUGUACCAGUUGUUCCGCCAGGAGCAUAGCUGGGUAGCUACGUGUGGACGGGAUAAGUGCUGAAAGCAUCUAAGCAUGAAGCCCCCCUCAAGAUGAGAUUUCCCAUGGAGUUAAUCCAGUAAGACCCCUUAGAGAUGAUGAGGUUGAUAGGUCUGGUGUGGAAGCGUGGCGACACGUGGAGCUGACAGAUACUAAUCGGUCGAGGACUUAUCCAA